GACGAACGCUGGCGGCGUGCUUAACACAUGCAAGUCGAACGGAAAGGCCCUGCUUUUGUGGGGUGCUCGAGUGGCGAACGGGUGAGUAACACGUGAGUAACCUGCCCUUGACUUUGGGAUAACUUCAGGAAACUGGGGCUAAUACCGGAUAGGAGCUCCUGCUGCAUGGUGGGGGUUGGAAAGUUUCGGCGGUUGGGGAUGGACUCGCGGCUUAUCAGCUUGUUGGUGGGGUAGUGGCUUACCAAGGCUUUGACGGGUAGCCGGCCUGAGAGGGUGACCGGCGACCUUGGGACUGAGAGACGGCCCAGACUCCUACGGGAGGCAGCAGUCGGGAAUAUUGCACAAUGGGCGGAAGCCUGAUGCAGCAACGCCGCGUGCGGGAUGACGGCCUUCGGGUUGUAAACCGCUUUCGCCUGUGACGAAGCGUGAGUGACGGUAAUGGGUAAAGAAGCACCGGCUAACUACGUG
RNAcentral lists this ribosomal RNA (468 nucleotides) under uncultured bacterium. Its description in RNAcentral is "partial 16S ribosomal RNA". It matches the Rfam family "Bacterial small subunit ribosomal RNA", at positions 28 to 507 of the family's 1533-position model. The record is from RNAcentral.